Non-coding RNA from Pimephales promelas (fathead minnow), 449 nucleotides. The record is from RefSeq and is a predicted model, not a curated record. Lineage: Eukaryota; Metazoa; Chordata; Actinopteri; Cypriniformes; Leuciscidae.
UAAAGUAUUGAUUGAUUUUGGGUUUUUUUGCGGCUGGCUAGUGGAAUUAUUUAUUUAUGUUUCCAUUUUUUUUUUUUUUUUCUUUCUUUGAAUCAAUUAUGUAAUACCAACUGCUUUCCAUCCUUGAUUAAGCUGCCAGGGGGUAGUUUUCCAUCGUGAUCGGGUGGUGAACAUGGAAAUAAGAAUAACAGCGCCCUUAUAGGUCUGGUGGUUUGAUUUGUGUGUUUGCCACAUUGUGCACGUGUAUCCUGUUGUAAUGAAGGGCUUACUGGAGUUUGCUGUGGUUAUCACUCAAUGCAAUGAAGUGUCCCCUGUAUAGGUAACUCAAGUUUUGUUUUGUAUUCCUAGCCAGACCAAUUGAGAAAUUGCUGCCCCCAUCCGCUGAAGCAGUUUAUGUUUUGAAUAAUUUUACAGUACUGCUUAAUAAAGAAAUUUGUAUUUUUUUAUAA